CGGACGGGUGAGUAAUGUCUGGGGAACUGCCUGAUGGAGGGGGAUAACUACUGGAAACGGUAGCUAAUACCGCAUAACGUCGCAAGACCAAAGAGGGGGACCUUCGGGCCUCUUGCCAUCAGAUGUGCCCAGAUGGGAUUAGCUAGUAGGUGGGGUAACGGCUCACCUAGGCGACGAUCCCUAGCUGGUCUGAGAGGAUGACCAGCCACACUGGAACUGAGACACGGUCCAG
This 232-nucleotide ribosomal RNA is filed under the name uncultured Enterobacterales bacterium. RNAcentral describes it as "partial 16S ribosomal RNA". It matches the Rfam family "Bacterial small subunit ribosomal RNA", at positions 99 to 334 of the family's 1533-position model. Lineage: Bacteria; Pseudomonadati; Pseudomonadota; Gammaproteobacteria; Enterobacterales. The record is from RNAcentral.